UGCCAGACUCCUACGGGAGGCAGCAGUCGGGAAUAUUGCGCAAUGGAGGAAACUCUGACGCAGUGACGCCGCGUGCAGGAAGAAGGUUUUCGGAUUGUAAACUGCUUUAGACAGGGAAGAUAAUGACAGUACCUGUAGAAUAAGCUCCGGCUAACUACGUGCCAGCAGCCGCGGUAAUACGUAGGUGGCAAGCGUUGUCCGGAUUUACUGGGUGUAAAGGGCGUGCAGCCGGGAGUGCAAGUCAGAUGUGAAAUCCCGCGGCUCAACCGCGGAACUGCAUUUGAAACUGUGCUUCUUGAGUGCUGGAGAGGCAGACGGAAUUCCUAGUGUAGCGGUGAAAUGCGUAGAUAUUAGGAGGAACACCAGUGGCGAAGGCGGUCUGCUGGACAGUAACUGACGGUGAGGCGCGAAAGCGUGGGGAGCAAACAGGAUUAGAUACCCGUGUA
Molecule: ribosomal RNA, 446 nt
Filed under: uncultured bacterium
Lineage: Bacteria
Description: bacterial SSU rRNA
Rfam family: Bacterial small subunit ribosomal RNA
Source: RNAcentral